CUCAAGUCCUUUCACAUGUGUAACUAGGUCUGGACAAGCAGGAAUUUCUGGCCCUUUUCCCAAUUCCCGUGGGAGGAGAUGGGAAAGGUGCUUCUUUUAUCCUUGCCUUUCCAAGACAACAAGAAAGGCUUCUCCCCAUGGUGCCGGCCCCGGUACUAAGCUGGGGAAAGGGAUCCUUAGGGUGUAAACUGUCUUGCCACCUACUGUUUAAACCUCUGUGAAAGAUAAGCCUUCUGAAAUAGCCUCCUAUUCAACCCAGAAAUCAAUCCUAACUUGUAAAAGAAGUUAUGGACACGAGGACGAGAAACGGGAAAUCCUGCGGGAGAUAGCGCUUUCUCUUUUCCCCCAGAAAGUCUCCAGGCAGCAGCUCUGUGAGAUCCUUAAGCAAGGUAAGGAAACUCACCCGCUGCGCUGCGGCUUCGUGGCCAGCAGGGCUGGGACAUACUCGCCUCACGCUUCAGCACCGGGGACAGCUCCUGCCUCGCCAACUUCGGCAGCUCUUCUCGAUGUCUCGCCGCGGGCUGUGCCUCACAGGCUACGGGAGGGGAGAGUGUCUCCCCACGCCGGGGUCCCGGCCUCUGGGUUUUAGGGAGCGCGAAUGGGUCUCCGACAGCAACGGGAGCAGCCGGUGGCGCCUCAGGCUGCGGUGGCAACGAGCCCGACUGCACUACGGCUUUGCGGGACCGCGCCAGCGCGGAGGAGACCGAGCCCAUCUCAGCGGGCCGGGCCGGACCCAGGCCUCUGGCCUCGUCCACCAAGAACCUGCCAGAGUUCCUUCCAGAGGCCCACCAACAGGUGCUCAGCAGAAUCUGCACUGAGGAGCAUUGGAAAGAUCUGACCUACCUGCCAACAUCCUACCAGAACCUGAAAGUCACCAAUUGGGAUUUAUGUCUUCGGAUCCUGAAGUUUUAACCACUGACAAUGUUGAAUUUUACCUAAGCCCUGUGCUUCUGGAAAACAGGGAAGGUCAAGACAUCCCCUACUGUUUUAAUCAAUUCAGGCUGCUAUAGCAAAAAUACCAGAGACUGGGUGGCUUAAACAACAAACAUUUAUUUCUCACAGUUCUGGAGGCUGGAGGUCUGAGAUCAGGGUGCCAGCAUGGCUGGGUUCUGGUGAGGGACCUCUUCCUGAUUACAUCUUCACACGGCCUUUCCCUGGCGUGUGCACAUAGGAAAAGAGACCCCCAUGUCUUCUUCUCUUUUUAAAAGAGCACUAAUCCCGUCAUGGGGGCUCUAACCCGGUCCUACCUCCAAAUACCAUUACUUUGGGGAUUAAUAUUUCAACAUAUGAAUGAGGGAGAGGGCACAAACAUCCUUUUGUGUUGUGGAAAAUGGUUUAGCACAAAAAACCACCCUUCCCCAUAUGACUGAGAAAAGACUCACAGAUGCAUCCUUGCUUAUCUAUGGCAAGGCUAGACACCUUCCAAAUUCCCAUUUUUUGCUUCAUAAAUGAUUAGCUGAACUGUUUCAUCCUCACUGAUCAAUAGGACAAAAUAAGAAGUUAACCAAACUUGGCUGGACGUGGUGGCUCCCACCUGUAAUCCCAGCACUUUGGGAGGAUGAGGCGGAUGGAUUACUUGAGGUCAGGAGUUCGAGACCAGCCUGGCCAACUUUAGUAGAAAGUGAAACCCCUUUCUACUAAAAAUACAAAAAUUAGCCGGGCGUGGUGGUGCACACCCGUAGUCCCAGCUACUCGGGAGGCUAAGGCAGGAGAAUUGCUUGAACCCAGGGGGUGGAGGCUGCGGUGAGCCGAGAUCACACCACCGCACUCCAGCCUGGGUGACAGAGCAAGACUAUCUCAAAAAAAAAAGUAAAAGAAAUUAACUUGGUUAAACUUCUCUCCUUCCCACAAGCCUCUGAACUUUGACCCACUCUCAGCCUCAACCAGCAGACAGCCCCUCCAGAGAACAGGCUGACCUCAGGGUAAAAUGUUCUCUGAUGUACUAUCUGGUCAUGUCACUCUUUCAUCCCACUUCCCCACACCACAAUUCUUUCUAGCCUUGUUUAUUCCUCUUUAUAAAAGAAAACUCUUAUUCGCCUAACUCCUGAGACAAUCGCAAAUCUUAUGGUCAGUAAUUCUCCCUGUUGCAACAGUCCCUCCCCAUUCUCAUUUCUCACCCCCACAGACACACCCCACCAACAGUAAUCCUUUUGAAUAAAGGCUGUCCUUGCUAAGUCUGGAUUUAUUUUGACACCAUCUUUAAGAGUUUCCUCUAAGAAUAUAAGUGACCCUAUGAGAGGGCACUGUAAGUCUCAGUUAACGUUUUGUUGAAGAUUAAUUUAUCCCUGUUUGACUAAAGGGGAGGAAGGCAGACAAGAAUACUAUGAGAACCUACCAGACACUAGACAUAGCCCUGGAUAUUACACAUACUUGAUUUCAUGUAAUUCUUGAGGUUCAAAGAUACAAAAUGAUUUCCCAAAGACCCUACAGAGGCCAGACUGAAACCUAGGUCAUUAACUUGGAAUCAUAGGUUCAACACAGACAAUAGCUCCCCACAAAAUUUUAAAGAUCCCAGAGUCCAGCUCCUGCCUGGUCAGGUUGGGGAAACUAGGGUCAACCAACAUGCUAAUGACAGAAGAGCUCAGAAAAGAGCCCAAAUCUUCCACCCCAGGCUCCAUCUCAUUCCAGCACAACCACAGCUACCACUUUUCACCAGCUUCACAGCUCUGUCUUGUUGUCAGCCUUAUUAGAACUGCUCUCUGCUGAGUUAGUCUAGACAAUUUCCAAGAAAGUUCAGAGGGCUCCCAAGAAGAUCCCCAACCAAGGUAAUCAAAGGAUUUCAAGUGAAGUCAGAACACACAGGAGCAAAGAAGCAACUCAGCUGGAUCCAUUUAACAUUGAUUGAGCACCUACAGCUUGUUAUGGCUAUAGUCUCCACAUGGCUUCUGACCAGUCAGGACUAUGGGACUAUACCAUAAUGCUGGGAGCUUGAGCUGUAACACAGGCA
RNAcentral lists this long non-coding RNA (2947 nucleotides) under Homo sapiens (human). RNAcentral's name for it is "HSALNT0120856". Lineage: Eukaryota; Metazoa; Chordata; Mammalia; Primates; Hominidae. The record is from RNAcentral.